Molecule: ribosomal RNA, 425 nt
Filed under: uncultured bacterium
Lineage: Bacteria
Description: partial 16S ribosomal RNA
Rfam family: Bacterial small subunit ribosomal RNA
Source: RNAcentral
GUGGGGAAUCUUGCGCAAUGGGCGAAAGCCUGACGCAGCCAUGCCGCGUGAAUGAUGAAGGUCUUAGGAUUGUAAAAUUCUUUCACCGGGGACGAUAAUGACGGUACCCGGAGAAGAAGCCCCGGCUAACUUCGUGCCAGCUGCCGCGGUAAUACGAAGGGGGCUAGCGUUGCUCGGAAUUACUGGGCGUAAAGGGCGCGUAGGCGGACAGUUUAGUCAGAGGUGAAAGCCCAGGGCUCAACCUUGGGAUUGCCUUUGAUACUGGCUGUCUUGAGUACGGGAGAGGUGAGUGGAACUCCGAGUGUAGAGGUGAAAUUCGUAGAUAUUCGGAAGAACACCAGUGGCGAAGGCGACUCACUGGCCCGUUACUGACGCUGAGGCGCGAAAGCGUGGGGAGCAAACAGGAUUAGAAACCCGGGUAGUCC